Molecule: long non-coding RNA, 1550 nt
Organism: Numida meleagris (helmeted guineafowl)
Lineage: Eukaryota; Metazoa; Chordata; Aves; Galliformes; Numididae
Exons: 2
Source: RefSeq, a predicted model, not a curated record
GGCUACGCCGCUGGGGGAAGCGGAGCGGUAGCGAGGAACAGGAAGCGGCGGGGAGAAGGGAGGAACAAAGGCAGGAUGGGAAAUAAAAAGGGGAGCGUCGCGUACUCUGCAGCGAGUAUUAGACAGGUGGAAAGCUGGAGGGAAACAAAAGGGAAAGCCACGUGGAGAGGGAUAAGGGUUUAGUAGAGGAAUCGUUCCUGUCAAAGUUUGGGAGAAGCACGUGUGGGGAACAGCAGAGACAUGAUGCCGGCCUGGCACACGAGAGCGGCUGCAGUUGCUGGGGACUGUCACCAUCCUUGAGGCCUUGAUGACAGCAGACAAGUUCCCAGCCCCAAUCCCGUGGGAGCUCAGAGGUACCAGAGUGCCUCAUUCCUUCACAUUUCUCCACAGUUUCCCAUGUUUCCAAAUGUUUGUGCUGACAGACUCCCAGCUAUUUGCAUCUGCACAAAGGAGACACCAAAGCCACAGGAAAUACUGCUUCCAAUGGCUCUGACUCCAUGUCAAACUCCAUUUCUUAAAGCUCCCUAGCAGCUGGCAUUUAGCAGAGUGCUGCGGCACAGGGGCUGUCCCCAGGGGAAGCGCAGAUGGAGCAGUGCUCAGUGUGGGGCAGAUCCAUCACAGCCUGAGCUGCUGCUUGCUCUGGGAAACGGGGCCAAGCCCAGCACAGCGAGGUGGUGUCAGAGCUCACAGCUGAUAGGAUCACCUCGGGAAAUUUGUUUUCUAUUGAAUUGCCUGGUUUGAACAUAAAAAUCCUUUUAACUGAAAGUAACAGCUCCUCCGUACUAUCUUUCUGCAAAGCCCCACAGUCUUGCUCUAUGGGGGAAAAAAAAUUGUCUUCAUUUUUGUAUUUAUCCACCAAGGCCUAGAGAGCAGUGCAGCCUUCCAGGCUGCAGUGACUGCCACCUGGUUCUCUCAUCCCCACAAAGAAGAGGGGCUUCUCCCUCAUGGCCAUACCUGGGCCAUGGCUUAUACAACCACCCUCCGCCAGCCAGUGUAGCAGACACAGCUGGGAGCUGAAAUGCGGGUCACAGGGCAGGAGCCUGCUACUCUGAGGCCUAUCACGUGAUUCAGCAUACAGGCAGGAGAACAAGCUGGAGUAGCCUGCCUGUAACGAAGAUUUCCCACAGUUAGGGUCAUCAUCACCUAGUGCAGACCUGGAGCACCAUUUGGAUAUUACCAUGAUUCCUGUUAAACCUGACUGACUGCUCCCUGCUCCAUUGCUCCAGCAUCAGCAUUCCUUAAUGGCAAGAGCAUAGAUUGAGGGAAUUGAGCUGGAGCUGUAAAGUAGUCCAGAGAAGAAAGCUAACAUCUGGGGUCACUACACAAUUAUUUCAGAGACCAUGUAAUUAAGAGCAAGGGACAGGGGAGAAGACUCCUCUGUGACUGCACUGCAGAACCCAGCUACCCUGUUAGGAGGGGACAGGGUAUCUGUAAGAACUCUAUCAGAGACUCAGGAACUUAUAAUAGCCACCAAAUCUGAACAAAUCUCCAAAGUUUAUUACAAAUGUGCCAUUGCAAAUAAACUGACAUCCACCCAGAAAUCUGAAGUA